This 761-nucleotide ribosomal RNA is filed under the name uncultured archaeon. Its description in RNAcentral is "bacterial SSU rRNA". It matches the Rfam family "Archaeal small subunit ribosomal RNA", at positions 102 to 859 of the family's 1478-position model. The record is from RNAcentral.
GGAUAACCUGCCCUUGGGUCCGGCAUAACCCCGGGAAACUGGGGAUAAUUCCGGAUAACGCAUAUGUGCUGGAAUGCUUUAUGCGUAAAAUGGAUUCGUCUGCCCAAGGAUGGGUCUGCGGCCUAUCAGGUAGUAGUGGGUGUAAUGUACCUACUAGCCGACAACGGGUACGGGUUGUGAGAGCAAGAGCCCGGAGAUGGAUUCUGAGACAUGAAUCCAGGCCCUACGGGGCGCAGCAGGCGCGAAAACUUUACAAUGCGGGAAACCGUGAUAAGGGGACACCGAGUGCCAGCAUCAUAUGCUGGCUGUCCGGGUGUGUAAAAUACACCUGUUAGCAAGGGCCGGGCAAGACCGGUGCCAGCCGCCGCGGUAACACCGGCGGCCCGAGUGGUGAUCGUGAUUAUUGGGUCUAAAGGGUCCGUAGCCGGUUUGGUCAGUCCUCCGGGAAAUCUGAUAGCUCAACUAUUAGGCUUUCGGGGGAUACUGCCAGACUUGGAACCGGGAGAGGUAAGAGGUACUACAGGGGUAGGAGUGAAAUCUUGUAAUCCCUGUGGGACCACCUGUGGCGAAGGCGUCUUACCAGAACGGGUUCGACGGUGAGGGACGAAAGCUGGGGGCACGAACCGGAUUAGAUACCCGGGUAGUCCCAGCCGUAAACGAUGCUCGCUAGGUGUCAGGCAUGGCGCGACCGUGUCUGGUGCCGCAGGGGAAGCCGUGAAGCGAGCCACCUGGGGAAGUACNGNCGCAAGGCUGAAACUUAA